GUCUUUAACAUUGAGACCCCAUGAGUGAUCUCGUCUUCUAUGGUUAGGACUGUUGGAGCUUUUGCUAAGUUGAUUGAAAGACUUCUUUCUUUGUUGAUUGUAGCAAAACUAUACAAUUUGAAAACAAAAUUAUAAGCUAAAAGUAAUAACAUAAUUAUAUAAUCCUAAAAAUAAAUAAUUUUUGUAUUGAACAUACGCCUCCUUUGCUUCCUUGAUUUCUUCAAUAUUUGCAUUCCACAAAAUGUUGGUAAUAUCGUAAGAAGUUGUAAUUCGAACUUCACCUGCAUGUCAUUUUUUUGUUAGAUAUAGUAUUUUAAUUUCAACUUUGACACUAUAUAAUUCAAACUUUACCUUUGUAAAUUGUUGGGCGGCAAAAUUGAAGGAUAAUACAAAUUGGCAAAUUUGGAUCACCACGAAGAUAAUUGUACAUUUUUUCUGCAUGUUGUUCCCACAAUGUACAUGAUAGAGUCUUUCCCCUGAAAAGUUAUAUUUAGCAAAUGAAUUAAAACUAAUGUCAUUUCUAGAAAAAAAAAUUAAAAUAAAAAGCAUAAUUUAACAAC
RNAcentral lists this long non-coding RNA (560 nucleotides) under Salvia miltiorrhiza (redroot sage). RNAcentral's name for it is "long non-coding RNA (SMIL_LNC010707)". The record is from RNAcentral. Lineage: Eukaryota; Viridiplantae; Streptophyta; Magnoliopsida; Lamiales; Lamiaceae.